UACGUAGGGUGCAAGCGUUAAUCGGAAUUACUGGGCGUAAAGCGUGCGCAGGCGGUGCUGUAAGACAGGCGUGAAAUCCCCGGGCUUAACCUGGGAAUGGCGCUUGUGACUGCAGUGCUGGAGUGUGGCAGAGGGGGAUGGAAUUCCGCGUGUAGCAGUGAAAUGCGUAGAUAUGCGGAGGAACACCGAUGGCGAAGGCAAUCCCCUGGGCCUGCACUGACGCUCAUGCACGAAAGCGUGGGGAGCAAACAGGAUUAGAUACCCUGGUAGUCCACGCCCUAAACGAUGUCAACUGGUUGUUGGGUCUUUUCUGACUCAGUAACGAAGCUAACGCGUGAAGUUGACCGCCUGGGGAGUACGGCCGCAAGGUUGAA
This 374-nucleotide ribosomal RNA is filed under the name uncultured bacterium. Its description in RNAcentral is "bacterial SSU rRNA". It matches the Rfam family "Bacterial small subunit ribosomal RNA", at positions 524 to 898 of the family's 1533-position model. The record is from RNAcentral.